Molecule: ribosomal RNA, 440 nt
Filed under: uncultured bacterium
Lineage: Bacteria
Description: partial 16S ribosomal RNA
Rfam family: Bacterial small subunit ribosomal RNA
Source: RNAcentral
CCUACGGGCGGCAGCAGUGGGGGAUAUUGCACCAUGGGGGAAACCCUGAUGCAGCGACGCCGCGUGGGUGAAGAAGCGCCUCGGCGCGUAAAGCCCUGUCAGCAGGGAAGAAAAUGACGGUACCUGAAGAAGAAGCCCCGGCUAACUACGUGCCAGCAGCCGCGGUAAUACGGAGGGGGCAAGCGUUAUCCGGCUGUACGGGGUGUAAAGGGGGCGCAGACGGCGAUGCAAGCCAGGAGUGAAAGCCCGGGGCCCAACCCCGGGACUGCUCUUGGAACUGCGUGGCUAGAGUGCAGGAGGGGCAGGCGGAAUUCCUGGUGUAGCGGUGAAAUGCGUAGAUAUCAGGAGGAACACCGGUGGCGAAGGCGGCCUGCUGGACUGCAACUGACGUUGAGGCCCGAAAGCGUGGGGAGCAAACAGGAUUAGAUACCCUUGUAGUC